RNAcentral lists this ribosomal RNA (495 nucleotides) under uncultured bacterium. Its description in RNAcentral is "partial 16S ribosomal RNA". It matches the Rfam family "Bacterial small subunit ribosomal RNA", at positions 28 to 507 of the family's 1533-position model. The record is from RNAcentral.
GACGAACGCUGGCGGCGUGCCUAAUACAUGCAAGUAGAACGCUGAAGGAGGAGCUUGCUUCUCUGGAUGAGUUGCGAACGGGUGAGUAACGCGUAGGUAACCUGCCUGGUAGCGGGGGAUAACUAUUGGAAACGAUAGCUAAUACCGCAUAAGAGUAGAUGUUGCAUGACAUUUGCUUAAAAGGUGCAAUUGCAUCACUACCAGAUGGACCUGCGUUGUAUUAGCUAGUUGGUGGGGUAACGGCUCACCAAGGCGACGAUACAUAGCCGACCUGAGAGGGGUAUCGGCCACACUGGGACUGAGACACGGCCCAGACUCCUACGGGAGGCAGCAGUAGGGAAUCUUCGGCAAUGGACGGAAGUCUGACCGAGCAACGCCGCGUGAGUGAAGAAGGUUUUCGGAUCGUAAAGCUCUGUUGUAAGAGAAGAACGAGUGUGAGAGUGGAAAGUUCACACUGUGACGUUAACUUACCAGAAAGGGACGGCUAACUACGUG